This 220-nucleotide small nucleolar RNA is filed under the name Caenorhabditis briggsae. RNAcentral's name for it is "sRNA CBG29676". The record is from RNAcentral. Lineage: Eukaryota; Metazoa; Nematoda; Chromadorea; Rhabditida; Rhabditidae.
UCUACACGUGAUUAGCGGUCCUCUUCGGGGUUGACUGCUUCUCAUUGUGGAGCAUCGAGGGCUUUCUAUUAAGUUGACCUUGGUCCACCGUGUCGUAUACCAACAGUCUGUGUGGCCCUCUAAUGCUACUUGAGAUGCCCGGGCUGAAUUGCAUAUUCCUUAUCCUUCCGUAGAUCCGACGGAUCAAUGACGGUUAGGACAAACCAUGCAAAUUACAAUA